Molecule: unclassified non-coding RNA, 376 nt
Filed under: fungal sp.
Lineage: Eukaryota; Fungi
Description: partial internal transcribed spacer region
Rfam family: Eukaryotic small subunit ribosomal RNA (bases 1-46)
Source: RNAcentral
AAGUCGUAACAAGGUUUCCGUAGGUGAACCUGCGGAAGGAUCAUUAACACGUGCAAACGUAUUAACCAAUCUACCUUCUACAACCCGUGAAUUUAACCCCCUACCUCAACACUAUCAAUCGUUCAAUGCAAUAGUAGUAGGAUAGAGUAGUUUCGGCUGCUCUAUGCAAUUGUAUUGAUACUAAGGCUUCGAGCCUAAGAUUGGUUUUGUUAGGCUUUUAACCCUUUUUUUCCCCUACUACAAAAAAACUAAACCAACCACAUUCACCUCAUCAACCAAUUUUGACUGAUGUACGUUGAGAGUAGAGAAAUCUACUGGAUCAACACCAUUUUAUCAUAACUAAGCACAACUCUUAGCAACGGAUCUCUUGGUUCUG